Molecule: non-coding RNA, 246 nt
Organism: Vicia faba (fava bean)
Lineage: Eukaryota; Viridiplantae; Streptophyta; Magnoliopsida; Fabales; Fabaceae
Source: the annotation of a GenBank genome assembly
AUGAACGCGUUUCUUUAUAGGCUCGCUACUCAUUGUGAUGAACCAACGGUGCCCUUUAACCCUUACAAGAAUCAAUUAAGAGGGCUGGCUGAUUUUGUCGGGGCAAUUUUUUGCUCUAUUGUUCUGCAUGAUUUGGUUCUAAAGGUGUUGUUGUUAUGUUUACUAGAGCACUUUGUUUAUACAAACGUCAAGGAAUCUGAGUCAAUGUGCUUUUCGCUAAGUUUGUUGAAACUGAGAUGGGCUUAA